RNAcentral lists this ribosomal RNA (253 nucleotides) under uncultured bacterium. RNAcentral's name for it is "partial 16S ribosomal RNA". It matches the Rfam family "Bacterial small subunit ribosomal RNA", at positions 524 to 776 of the family's 1533-position model. The record is from RNAcentral.
UACGAAGGGUGCUAGCGUUGUUCGGAUUUACUGGGCGUAAAGCGCACGCAGGCGGCCAUUCAAGUCAGAGGUGAAAUCCCAGGGCUCAACCCUGGAACUGCCUUUGAAACUGGAUGGCUAGAGGAUGAGAGGGGAGUGUGGAAUUCCUAGUGUAGAGGUGAAAUUCGUAGAUAUUAGGAGGAACACCAGUGGCGAAGGCGACACUCUGGCUCAUUUCUGACGCUCAUGUGCGAAAGCGUGGGGAGCAAACAGG